GGAGGAGACAACAAAGCCAGCAGCUUUAAGAGAGGAAAAUGCUAAGAGGUCCUUGUUAACAUCUAGACCAAAGGAAGAGGAAGCGUCGUCACCUGCGGAUUCGGAUUCUGAGAAUGUUGCACAACCGGGAUUGA
Lemur catta (Ring-tailed lemur) is the source of this 134-nucleotide long non-coding RNA. RefSeq lists it as uncharacterized. The record is from RefSeq and is a predicted model, not a curated record. The transcript has 3 exons. Lineage: Eukaryota; Metazoa; Chordata; Mammalia; Primates; Lemuridae.